This 573-nucleotide ribosomal RNA is filed under the name Parabacteroides distasonis. RNAcentral's name for it is "bacterial SSU rRNA". It matches the Rfam family "Bacterial small subunit ribosomal RNA", at positions 1 to 557 of the family's 1533-position model. Lineage: Bacteria; Pseudomonadati; Bacteroidota; Bacteroidia; Bacteroidales; Tannerellaceae. The record is from RNAcentral.
CUUUUACAAUGAAGAGUUUGAUCCUGGCUCAGGAUGAACGCUAGCUACAGGCUUAACACAUGCAAGUCGAGGGGCAGCAUUUCACUUUGCUUGCAAAGUGAAGAUGGCGACCGGCGCACGGGUGAGUAACACGUAUCCAACCUGCCGAUAACUCGGGGAUAGCCUUUCGAAAGAAAGAUUAAUAUCCGAUGGUAUAUCAAUCCCGCAUGAGAUUGAUAUUAAAGAAUUUCGGUUAUCGAUGGGGAUGCGUUCCAUUAGUUUGUUGGCGGGGUAACGGCCCACCAAGACUACGAUGGAUAGGGGUUCUGAGAGGAAGGUCCCCCACAUUGGAACUGAGACACGGUCCAAACUCCUACGGGAGGCAGCAGUGAGGAAUAUUGGUCAAUGGACGUAAGUCUGAACCAGCCAAGUAGCGUGAAGGAUGACUGCCCUAUGGGUUGUAAACUUCUUUUAUAUGGGAAUAAAGUAUUCCACGUGUGGGAUUUUGUAUGUACCAUAUGAAUAAGGAUCGGCUAACUCCGUGCCAGCAGCCGCGGUAAUACGGAGGAUCCGAGCGUUAUCCGGAUUUAUUGG